RNAcentral lists this ribosomal RNA (2390 nucleotides) under human gut metagenome. RNAcentral describes it as "bacterial LSU rRNA". It matches the Rfam family "Bacterial large subunit ribosomal RNA", at positions 14 to 2430 of the family's 2925-position model. The record is from RNAcentral.
AGGGCACAUGGUGGAUGCCUGGGCUCUCGGAGGCGAUGAAGGACGUGAUAAGCUGCGAAAAGCCGCGGUGAGGUGCAAAUGACCUUUGACCCGCGGAUCUCCGAAUGGGACAACCCGAUGUUCUGAAGGGACAUCAUCUGUCAAUGACAGAGGCUAACGCAGGGAACUGAAACAUCUUAGUACCUGCAGGAAAAGAAAAUAAGAAUGAUUCCCCCAGUAGUGGCGAGCGAACGGGGAAGAGCCCAAACCUCGGGUGUUACGGCACCCGAGGGGUUGUAGGACCACGACGUUGCAAGACAAAGGCGAGGGGAAGGUGCUGGAAAGCGCCGCCAUAGAGCAUGAAAGCUGCGUACCCGAAACCGAUGGAAGCAUAGUGGUAUCCUGAGUAUCGCGGGACACGAGGAAUCCUGCGAGAAUCCGCCGGGACCAUCCGGCAAGGCUAAAUACUCCCGAGAGACCGAUAGUGAACCAGUACCGUGAGGGAAAGGUGAAAAGUACCCCGCACAGGGGAGUGAAACAGACCCUGAACCCAUGUGCCUACAAGCGGUCGGAGCACCGUAAGGUGUGACGGCGUGCCUUUUGCAUAAUGAACCUACGAGUUGCCGUUGCCGGCAAGGUUAAGCGCGAUAACGCGCGUAUCCGAAGCGAAAGCGAGUCCGAAGAGGGCGUCCAGUCGGCAGUGGCAGACGCGAAACCAAGUGAUCUACCCUUGUCCAGGAUGAAGUCUGGGUAACACCAGAUGGAGGUCCGCACCAAUAAGCGUUGAAAAGCUUCUGGAUGAGAUGAGGGUAGGGGUGAAAGGCUAAUCAAACUUGGAGAUAGCUCGUACUCCCCGAAAUGCAUUUAGGUGCAGCCUGCGUGAUUACCGGCAUGAGGUAGAGCGACUGAUAAGAUGCGAGGGCUUCGCCGCCUAUCAAGUCUUGACAAACUCCGAAUGCUUGCCGGUUUGACACGUGGAGUGAGGGGCCGGGUGCUAAGGUCCGGUCCCGAGAGGAGAAGAAUCCUGACCAUCGUCUAAGGUCCCGAAAUGACGGCUGAGUUAGUCAAACGAAGUAGGAUUGCCGUGACAGCUAGGAUGUUGGCUUGGAAGCAGCCAUUCAUUUAAAGAGUGCGUAACAGCUCACUAGUCGAGGAAUCCUGCGUGGAUAAUAAUCGGGUAUAAGCCGUCUGCCGAAGACGUGGAAUCUCUUGAGAGAUUGGUAGGGGAGCAUUCCAUUCAGCGUUGAAGGCGCACCGCGAGGUGCUCUGGAGCGUAUGGAAAAGCAAAUGUAGGUAUAAGUAACGAUAAAGGGGGUGGGAUGCCCCCUCGCCGUAAGACUAAGGUUUCCUGAUCAACGCUAAUCGGAUCAGGGUAAGUCGGGUCCUAAGGCACAGCCGAACGGCGCAGCCGAUGGAAGAAACGGUCAAGAUUCCGUUACUGCCCCACGGAGUGACGCGGGGACGGAGGAGUGACAGUGCCGCCGCCUGACGGAAUAGGCGGUUGAAGGGUGUAGGCGUCGAUUGCCGCAGGCAAAUCCACGGCAAGAGCCGAACCUGACAGUAUGGGGCGUUCCCCGGAACAACCCAAUAGCGCACGUAAACAGACUCCCGAGAAAAUCCGCUAAACAUAAUCCGUGUGGCACCCGUACCGCAAACGGACACACGUAGUCGGGUAGAGCAUACCAAGGCGCUUGAGUGAAUCACGGUUAAGGAACUAGGCAAACUGACCCUGUAACUUCGGGAUAAAGGGUCCUCACAGCAAUGUGAGGCGCAGAGAAUCGGUCCAGGCAACUGUUUACCAAAAACACAGGGCUGUGCGAAUUCGCAAGAAGCAGUAUACAGCCUGACACCUGCCCGGUGCCGGAAGGUUAAGAGGAGAUGUCACCGCAAGGGAAGCAUUGAAUUGAAGCCCCGGUAAACGGCGGCCGUAACUAUAACGGUCCUAAGGUAGCGAAAUUCCUUGUCGGGUAAGUUCCGACCUGCACGAAUGGUGUAAUGAUCUGGACGCUGUCUCAACCGUGAGCUCAGUGAAAUUGUAGUAUCGGUGAAGAUGCCGAUUACCCGCGAUGGGACGAAAAGACCCCGUGAACCUUUACUAUAGCUUAGCAUUGGGGCCGGGCACGUGAUGUGUAGGAUAGGUCGGAGGCUAUGAAGUGGUGACGCCAGUCAUCGUGGAGCCGCUGUUGAAAUACGACCCUUCAUUUGUCUGGUCCCUAACGCGCUGCGCGCGGACAUUGCUUGGUGGGUAGUUUGACUGGGGUGGUCGCCUCCAAAAGCGUAACGGAGGCUUCUAAAGGUGCCCUCAGGACGAUCGGUAACCGUCCGCAGAGUGUAAUGGCAAAAGGGCGCUUGACUGUGAGACAGACAGGUCGAGCAGGUAGGAAACUAGAGCAUAGUGAUCCGGUGUUUCC